This is a long non-coding RNA of Podarcis raffonei (Aeolian wall lizard), 538 nucleotides long. RefSeq lists it as uncharacterized. The record is from RefSeq and is a predicted model, not a curated record. The transcript is spliced from 3 exons. Lineage: Eukaryota; Metazoa; Chordata; Lepidosauria; Squamata; Lacertidae.
GCGGGGCACGUGGGAGAGGAGGCGGUGUUGCCCAGCGAGUUGUGAGGGGAACCUCGGCGACCAUGCAAGGCGCAUCAGUGGCGCUCGCUGCUGCUGCAGCAUAAGUGCUUGUUUUCUGAAGGCGCAUCCUUCGCUAGUUUCUCCCGCUUUCCUGCCCCCCAAGUGCCCUGCGUUGUUCCGACUUUCUUCUCAUUUCGCAGCGUAGCUCCUCCGACUUUUCUCUGAACGCUCAGUUUGCAAACUCCUUGGGGAAGGGAUCAUAUUCCAGAAGGGUAGCCAUAUCCAACAAAUCUGAAGCUUUGGUGCUCGGUAGUGUAUACUGUGAUGUGUUAGUUACUGAAAAGGAAACAGCCUCUUACAGACAAGAGGACCACCUUACAAAAGAUUACAAAAUGGUUUGCUUGAAAUAUGGCCUUUUCAAGCUCUAACCAGAGAAACCAGAAGCCUACACAGAACAACGUGGCCAGACCCAUGUAGAGAUCAACAUCCAAUGUUAACGAUUUUCAGUGAAGUGUGUUCAAAUAAAAGCAUAAAAGCC